This 145-nucleotide non-coding RNA is filed under the name uncultured Roseovarius sp. Its description in RNAcentral is "Ruegeria cis2 sRNA". It matches the Rfam family "Ruegeria cis2 sRNA". Rfam says of the family: Cis-encoded. The record is from RNAcentral. Lineage: Bacteria; Pseudomonadati; Pseudomonadota; Alphaproteobacteria; Rhodobacterales; Roseobacteraceae.
UUAUGUGGCAUAUAGUUUAUGAAUACAAAGCCGCGUGCCUGGUCGAUAAUGUGAAACAGCGGAUUCCAGUCAAACAGGUUUAACAUAAAGGUCGGCAGGGUGUUGACCACGAACAUCUUGCCCGAGGCGAUCAUGUUGGCGCGUU